RNAcentral lists this transfer RNA (66 nucleotides) under Platerodrilus sp. MNCN/DNA:86739. RNAcentral's name for it is "tRNA-Ile". Lineage: Eukaryota; Metazoa; Arthropoda; Insecta; Coleoptera; Lycidae. The record is from RNAcentral.
AGUGAGAUGCCUGAUAAAAGGAUUAUUUUGAUAGAAUAAAUUAUACGGAGAUUUCUGUACUCACUA